CCUACGGGAGGCAGCAGUGGGGAAUUUUGGACAAUGGGCGCAAGCCUGAUCCAGCCAUGCCGCGUGUCUGAAGAAGGCCUUCGGGUUGUAAAGGACUUUUGUUAGGGAAGAAAAGGAUAGUGUUAAUACCAUUAUCUGCUGACGGUACCUAAAGAAUAAGCACCGGCUAACUACGUGCCAGCAGCCGCGGUAAUACGUAGGGUGCGAGCGUUAAUCGGAAUUACUGGGCGUAAAGCGAGCGCAGACGGUUUAUUAAGCAAGAUGUGAAAUCCCCGAGCUUAACUUGGGAACUGCGUUUUGAACUGGUAAGCUAGAGUAUGUCAGAGGGGGGUAGAAUUCCACGUGUAGCAGUGAAAUGCGUAGAGAUGUGGAGGAAUACCGAUGGCGAAGGCAGCCCCCUGGGAUAAUACUGACGUUCAUGCUCGAAAGCGUGGGUAGC
RNAcentral lists this ribosomal RNA (439 nucleotides) under uncultured Treponema sp. RNAcentral describes it as "bacterial SSU rRNA". It matches the Rfam family "Bacterial small subunit ribosomal RNA", at positions 338 to 769 of the family's 1533-position model. The record is from RNAcentral. Lineage: Bacteria; Pseudomonadati; Spirochaetota; Spirochaetia; Treponematales; Treponemataceae.